This 6228-nucleotide long non-coding RNA is filed under the name Arabidopsis lyrata. RNAcentral describes it as "long non-coding RNA (ALYR_LNC000547)". Lineage: Eukaryota; Viridiplantae; Streptophyta; Magnoliopsida; Brassicales; Brassicaceae. The record is from RNAcentral.
AUUACAAUUAAAAUUUCAAAGACAAAAUAAAAAUUUGCGUGGAGGGGUAAAAUUGUAAAAUUCCCGCAGGCGAGACGCGGAUCCCGGAUCCUACACUCUUAUCUUUUGCGUCUGUGAAUUUGACCCGAUGAGAUUCUAUAUUUCCUAUUGGGCUUAGAUAUUUCCUACAGGCCCAUCGUUAAUCUCUUUUACUUCAAAUUUCCGAAUCUGCAGUAGAUAAUACGAAAUAAAAACAUUAGCAACACAAAUCAAACAAUACCAUAACUAUUUUUCCGGAUCAAUCAACUACUCUGUAUAUUGCCUUAACAAACAAAUCUCAUAAUUUACACUUCCUAAAAUAAAACGUAUUUAUUUCUAUUCCAUAUAAUAACAAAUCAAGCAUAUUCUUUACUUAUUCUAACUCGGGAAUAAGUUAGCAAUUACUUUUUUGAUUAAUUACACUCAAAUCUCGAAAAAAUCUUACCAUAUCAAAGCAAACUAUCAAUGCCAAUUUAAAAAUAUCUCUUUAAAUGCAAAACUCAAUCAUUUAUAUUGCUCUAUAUUGAAAGAUAUAGAAUUCUAACUUAUUAUAUUUCCCUAAUUGCUUGGUAUUAUAAAUCUCAUAAUUUACACUUCCUAAAAUAAAACGUAUUUAUUUCUAUUCCAUAUAAUAACAAAUCAAGCAUAUUCUUUACUUAUUCUAAAUCGGGAAUAAGUUAGCAAUUAAUUUUUUGAUUAAUUACACUCAAAUCUCGCAAAAAUCUUACCAUAUCACCGCAAACAAUUCAUUCCAAUGUAAAAAUAUAUAUGUAGACAGCAAAUUAAAUGCAAAACUUAUUAAUUCCUAUUACCCUAUAUUAAUAGGAAAGAUACAGUAUUGUAACUUAUUCGAUAAUUAGACACAAAUCUCGCAAAGAUCUUUCCAUAUCAACACAAACUAUCAAUGCCAAUUUUAAAAAAUUUCUUUAAAUGCAAAACUCAAUCAUUCAAAUUUCUCUAUAUUGAAAGAUAUAGAAUUCUAACUUAUUAUAUUUCCCUUAUUAGUUGGUAUUCAAAAUCACACAAUCUCUUCAAUAUCCAUAUUCAGUUCGAUAUUGAUAUACCAAACAAAUAAAUCUCCCUAAAUCAAGCAUAUACCUUUAAGAUCCUAAUCCCAAAUUAUAUUAUACGGCCUAUAUUCUCUAAAACCUAAUAAAACUAAAGGCUCCAUACGAUUACUAUAAAUAUAGGGACCUGCAUUAGAAAGAACUCACCUUUCAAAGCUUUACCAUUACCACUUCACUAUUUCUCUAACAAAAUGGCAGCUGUUCAAGCAUUCACCCCUCUUGCUGACAUUAAGCCCUUCAAAACACAUUGGAAAAUUCAAGUUAAGAUUGUGCAUUCGUGGACACAAUACACUCAAUUCACCGGGGAGACAGUUGAAAUGGUUCUUGCUGAUACAGCUGUAAGUAUAAGAACUAUCAUUUUUCAACAUAUUAAACAUUUAUCAAUCAUCAAUAUCACUGGAUGAUUAACAUGAGUUCUUUUUAUCUGUUGCCAGGGUACUUUGAUUCAUGCUACUGUUAAGAAGCCACAAGUGAGCAAACUGCAAAGGUUCAUAGUUUCUGGAGAAUGGCGUAUUAUCGAGCAUUUUACGCUAACCAAAUCAACAGGAAAGUAUCGAGCCACAAAACAUGGUUUCAAAAUGUCCAUGAUGGAAAAAACUGUGAUAAGUCGCACUCCUGCUGUUUCUGAUGACAUUUAUGUGGAUCUGGCAAACUUUCCAGAUAUUUUGAAUGAAGCAGGAUUGAGUGAAAACAUCUUAAUUGGUACUAUAUCUAUCUUACUUUCCAUUGUAUAUUUUCUUUUUCUAUUAUAAUAGGAACUUCUUCAUGAAAAUAUAAUUUAUUACUCUCUUAUUUUGCAGAUGUACUUGGACAGGUAGUUAGUUUCAAUGAAAUGAAAAUUCAUGAUGUUAACAACAAGAUCACAAAGAGACUUGAGUGUGAACUCAGAGACACAAAGUAAGUUUAAUCAUGAAUCUACCUUUUUUAUAUAAUCUUACAUACAUCUAAACUUAAAACUUUCUCAAUAUUUUUGUUGUAUUGUAGUGAUGAAAGGCUGAAAUGCACUCUUUGGGGGAGAUUUGCUGAGGCAAUGUAUAAUGCAUGUCAAAAUGCAGGGACUGAGAGAGUGAUUUGCUUGCUUCGGCUUGCAAAGAUCAACUCAUUUAAAGGUAUAGAAUGUUGUUACUGGGAAUAAUGCAUGAUUUUGAAAUCGAAAUGAAAUCAGAACAUAUGUGAAAAUACUAAUAUCAUGCUGUUUUUAGGUGAAAGAGCUGUUUCAAAUUCAUUUGAUAUGUCUCUAUUGGAAAUCAAUGCUACCUACCCUGCUGUUCUUGAGUUUGUGGCCAAGUAAGAUAUGUUUAAACAUCACUUUUCUUUUACUAAUAUAGAUAACUGUGAAUCCUAUUUAUAAUAUCUAAAGUUGAUUUCGUUUUCUUUUAUUUGUUAAAAAUAGUUUACCACCUGAUGUUAUUCCACUGACGAUCGAAGACUCGAAGGCAAAACAAGUGAAUGCAGAACAGAGAAAAAAGGAUUACUAUGAUCGUUUUCCAAGGAAAACCAUCUCUGGACUCUUUUGUUUUUCUGAGGUAUUUGUAUUUGAUAAUAGUAUUUUUCCUAGCAACUAUUAAAUUCUCUGUCUAUACUGCUAAUUAUCUAUUUUUUUGGAAUAGACUGGAAAGUGCAACAUAAUUUGUACCAUAAUGAAUAUCGACACAGACUAUUCUUGGUAUUUCUUUAGUUGCCUCAAGUGUAGCAAAACUGCCUAUAAGAUUCCAAAGGUUGAAAAUGAGAUUGUCAAGAAAGGCAAGAAAGAAAUGUUUUGGUGUCCAACAUGUAAGGAAGACACUCCUAAGGUGAUACCAAGGUAAGACUUUGAGAUUUGCUAAUAUAUAUCUACAUUUGUCAGAUAAUAACUAUGUACCUAAUCUACUUUCCUGUUCCUUUGAUAUGUAGGUAUCUUUUAAACGUUGGAGUGAUGGAUAGCACUGGAGACACUAAAUGUCUUAUCUUUGAUAAAAGUGCACAAGAGAUAAUCGGUGUGUCUGCAGAGGAUUUGCUGGAAGGGAAGUGGGAUGAGGUAAACAAAUUUGUUGUUAAUAUGUAUAUAGACCAUAUUAUUCAAAUAUCUUAAAUACUUUUUUCAAUCUAUCAUAACAGAUUCAGGAUCCUACAAACUUGCCUCAGCCAAUCAGAGAUUUGGUUGGAAAGACUUUCCAGUUUCUGGUGACUGUUGGAAAGGAAAACAUCAAUGAAACUGAUGAUACCUACAAGGUUUCAACCGUUUGGCUGGGUAAUGAAUCUGACAAUCUAGAUACUAUUGAAGAUUCUGACCAGCAGACUGACCAACGUAAUGACCUCUCUAUUGAUCAGGUAAUGUUAGUAGGUGCAACCAAAAUCAAUCUAUCAAAAAGUUAUUCAAGUUUAUCACUAAAGGGCUGGAUCGUGUUUCAAUUAAAUAGUGAGUACCAUCAGUUAUACUCAAGUCAGGGAAUAAAUUAUGGAUACUUAUAACUAUAUAAUUUAAUGACUUUGUUAUAUGAAAGAUUAUCUAUUAUAUAUUGACUAUCCUGAUUUUCUUACUUACAGGAAGGACUUGCUCUGACCAAUAGUGGUGAAACCACUGACCCUUUUGGUCCUACAUCAUCCACUCCUUCAUCUAAGCGUAGUAUGGAUGCAGUUUCUGAGGACAUUGAAGGUUAGGGUUCUACUACUAAAAAGGCAUGUGUCUCUUCCCUUCUUGGUGACAUUGAGAAGGAAGAGAUUGAAGGUGGCAAGAAUUAAGUUGUGCUGGCUGGGAAUAAUGUAGGGAGCUUGGCUGUAGCAAUUAGUUUUCUAUUUUUUUCUUUUGUUCAAGUUUCAAAACUUAUUUAGUUUUUUCUUUUAGCUAUGUGCUAUUUAAUUCUCAGUUAUUUUGAAUUCAAGCAAUAAACUUGAAGCUUCUCCUUAUACUAAACUCUUUGCAAAAUAUAAACUAACUUAUGCUUAAACUAAAGAUCACAAAACAGAAAGAGAAAAUAUACUAACCUGUGCUUUGUACUGAUGAAUUUUCAUAUAUAAGCCCCAUUACUGUAGCUAACACUGCAGAUAAAAGAAAACACAUAUUAGUAACAAACAUUGAGAGCCUGCGAUGAAUCUAUACUAAUCUGACGAUAUCUAUACUAUAAAUGGCUAACUUAAUUAAUAUGUGAGAUAUAUAAGUACAUAUAUUUUAAAGGGCAUAUGUGCAAAUAUUUUAAAGAUCUUAAGCUAUUAAAAUCUAUCUCCUAUUCUAAAUCGUUAACAAAUUGGAAUAGUAUAGCAGUAUAGAUAAAUCAGUUUUAAAAGGGUUCAUUGUUGUAGUAUAACAACUGUUUUCACGACCAAACUGGCAUAUUUAACCUAUUAAUAUACAAGAUUCUAUGCUAAAAAUAAGAAUAAAUCAAUUAGAUUUUAUUAUGAAUAUGGAAAAGAAAAUAUAUUCUGUAAUCUUUUCAGUUUAAUGCUAUCACACUAAAUCAGGCUGAGACGAUUUCUUUAUAAUCAUUACAUAACCAUUUAACACCUUCAAUCCUAAUCUAUAGCUACUCGCCUCAUUAGCAAAGAAACAUCUAUAAGGUCAGUCUUUUAAUCUCUUUCAACAUAUAACAUGUUCAUUGACAAAUGACAUAAUUGGAGAUUCGUUUUUCCUCACAAAUCUAUUUUGUUUUUCAGAAUGAAGAGAAGAAAAAAUGAAACAGUAAAAGAAAAUAACAAUGUAAUGCAGACACCUAACACAAAGCGUUCUAGGUCUCAGCUACAUGAUGAAAACAUAAAUCCAAAUCUACAGAACCAACAAGAUAGGAGUGAUGUUCAAGUAAAAGGGAUUUUUAAUCGAUUGAGAUCUGGAAUAGGUAACAUACCAGCCCAGCAGUGUGAUUCUGAAGCCUUACAGACAGUAACUGGUCCUUCUUCUUCUGCAGCCAUACAAAAGGAAACACAAGGUAUGUAAACAUUUAUAUUCCAACAAUAUAGCAUCUCCAUAUGAUGCUAACUAAUAAAUAACCAUAAUGUAUAGGAUUUGCAUCUACAGUUACUUAUAAUACGAGUGUAAGAUCAGCCAAAAAAACAGCAAGGACACAGAGAAGACCUUUUCAAGAUGUGCAGAACAUUAUUAAUACAUCACAGCUUCACAGCGAGGUUCACCAAACUCCACUUAAUCCACAUAAGCCACCAGAAAAAAAGGGGAAAAAGUGGAGUCCACCAUCUGUUAAUAGCAAACAAGGUAUACAUGCCUCUCAAUAAUAUGAAACUAUUACAUAAAAAGUAUUAAUAGAUCAACACUGAUGGAGUAAUGUUUAUUUCAUGAAGCUGCUAAGGGUAUUAUACUUACCAAUUCAAGAAUCAAUCUGAGGUUCCCAAAGUCUUUGGCAAAGGAGAAGAAAACAUCUCACAAGAGUUAUGAUACAACAAUCGAAGAAGACUCUGAUGAGAUCCUGAAUUCAAAGGAAGAAACAUAUAUUAAUAUGAGUAAGUAAAAAUCAUUAUGAUAUAUUUUCUAAACUUAAUAAAGCAUCCACUAAUCAGGGGAAAAAACUAUGAUAGGUGAUUUGGAGGAAACACGUGAACAGGUUUACGAGUGUAGUAGUCCAGAUGAAAAUGAUUCAGAAACAUCUGAAGAUUAUGAAACCAUAGACGAUAUCCCAAUCGAAGUCAAACAAAGAUAUGAGUUUUUAUCAAUGUUAGAUGAAAGUUUGACCAAAGCUUUUGGAGAAAGAAAAACUCCUAAUGUUUCUAGCAGAAAGAACAAAAACACAGGUACUACAUCAUUGGUUUAUUUCUAAUUCUUUUCUUACACAAACUUUACUUAUGCUAAACUGUCUUUCUGUUAUUGUAGAGUAUCUAGAUCAUGGAGAUCCUGUCUACUCAUGUUCCUACUGCGGUGCUAUUAUGUGGUAUGGCGAACGCAUCAACAGACAUAAGAAAGUUCGUAAACCAAUUUUUACUCAAUGUUGUCUGCAAGGAUCUGUGAAACUGCCUUUCCUCCAUAAUCAACCAGAACUGUUAUUUGCUUUGCUAACCAAUGAUGAUGACAUGAGUAGACACUUUAGAGAGAACAUCCGAGCAUAUAACAUGAUUUUUUCAUUUACUUCUCUUGGGGGUAAGUGUGAUAAUUCUGUUACAGCGGGAAGGGGUCCUAAUAUGUUUCAGAUACAAGGAGAGAAUUACCACCAGAUGGGAAGUUUGA